GACAAACGCUGGCGGCGUGCCUAAAACAUGCAAGUCGAACGGCCCUUUCGGGGGCAGUGGCGGACGGCUGAGUAACGCGUGGGUAACCUACCCAUGAGUGGGGAAUAACCCUCCGAAAGGGGGGCGUAAUACCGCAUACGACCGUUGAUCUGCGGAGGAGACGGGGAAAGGUACGCAAGACGCUCGUGGAGGGGCCCGCGUCCGAUUAGCUAGUUGGUGGGGUAACGGCUUACCAAGGCGUCGAUCGGUAGCUGGUCUGAGAGGAUGAUCAGCCAGACUGGGACUGUGACACGGCCCAGACUCCUACGGGAGGCAGCAGUUAGGAAUCUUGGG
This 333-nucleotide ribosomal RNA is filed under the name uncultured bacterium. Its description in RNAcentral is "bacterial SSU rRNA". It matches the Rfam family "Bacterial small subunit ribosomal RNA", at positions 28 to 368 of the family's 1533-position model. The record is from RNAcentral.